This 397-nucleotide ribosomal RNA is filed under the name uncultured bacterium. Its description in RNAcentral is "partial 16S ribosomal RNA". It matches the Rfam family "Bacterial small subunit ribosomal RNA", at positions 523 to 918 of the family's 1533-position model. The record is from RNAcentral.
AUACGUAGGGGGCGAGCGUUGUCCGGAAUGAUUGGGCGUAAAGGGCGCGUAGGCGGCGCGGUAAGUCUGGAGUGAAAGUCCUGCUUUCAAGGUGGGAAUUGCUUUGGAUACUGCCGCGCUUGAGUGCAGGAGAGGUUAUCGGAAUUCCCGGUGUAGCGGUGAAAUGCGUAGAGAUCGGGAGGAACACCAGUGGCGAAGGCGGGUAACUGGACUGCAACUGACGCUGAGGCGCGAAAGUGUGGGGAGCAAACAGGAUUAGAUACCCUGGUAGUCCAUGCCGUAAACGGUGGGCGCUAGGUGUAGGGGUCUUCCACGACUUCUGUGCCGUAGCUAACGCAUUAAGCGCCCCGCCUGGGGAGUACGGCCGCAAGGUUGAAACUCAAAUGAAUUGACGGGG